UCCUACGGGAGGCAGCAGUGGGGAAUAUUGGACAAUGGGGGAAAGCCUGAUCCAGCAAUGCCGCGUGUGUGAUGAAGGUCUUCGGAUUGUAAAGCUCUUUCGACGGGGACGAUGAUGACGGUACCCGUAGAAGAAGCACAGGCUACUUUG
Molecule: ribosomal RNA, 150 nt
Filed under: uncultured bacterium
Lineage: Bacteria
Description: partial 16S ribosomal RNA
Rfam family: Bacterial small subunit ribosomal RNA
Source: RNAcentral